RNAcentral lists this ribosomal RNA (301 nucleotides) under uncultured bacterium. Its description in RNAcentral is "partial 16S ribosomal RNA". It matches the Rfam family "Bacterial small subunit ribosomal RNA", at positions 509 to 807 of the family's 1533-position model. The record is from RNAcentral.
CAGUAGCCGCGGUAAUACGUAGGGUGCAAGCGUUAAUCGGAAUUACUGGGCGUAAAGCGUGCGCAGGCGGUUUGUUAAGACAGAUGUGAAAUCCCCGGGCUUAACCUGGGAACUGCAUUUGUGACUGGCAAGCUAGAGUAUGGCAGAGGGGGGUGGAAUUCCGCGUGUAGCAGUGAAAUGCGUAGAUAUGCGGAGGAACACCGAUGGCGAAGGCAGCCCCCUGGGCCAAUACUGACGCUCAUGCACGAAAGCGUGGGGAGCAAACAGGAUUAGAUACCCCAGUAGUCCCUGUCUCUUAUAC